RNAcentral lists this long non-coding RNA (398 nucleotides) under Bos taurus (domestic cattle). RNAcentral's name for it is "long non-coding RNA NONBTAT018419". Lineage: Eukaryota; Metazoa; Chordata; Mammalia; Artiodactyla; Bovidae. The record is from RNAcentral.
GUGUGUUGAGGAAGGAACUUCGUAAAAUCAACAGGAGUUACAACACUCCUGAGCUCCCUGCAAAGGGUGUAUACAGCUUCUAGAAGACUCCUUUCCCUUCUAAUCCAGGGAGUGGCUCAUAUAACUGCCCUUGAACUUUAGCUGAGCAAUGGUCAGUAAUAUUGCAGAGGUUUGCGUAUAAACCUGUAAAAUUGUAUGAGGUGGGAAAAGGAAGUAAGAUUGUAGGAGCAGAGCCUUGAAUUUCGCGGGGAAGUGGGUGGAUUGAUGAGCUACAGAGUUUUGAAUAUUUUGGAGUGAAGAAAAGAGCUAAAUCGAAAUCACUUUAAAAGUCUUUUGGUAUUUUUUUAUUUGAUUACUUCUUCCUUUCAAUCUUUGUGCUUCAUUCAGAAACUGCACAA